UUACGACCAUAUCUCUUUGAAACACCGAUUCUCGUACGAUCACCGAAAUUAAGCAAAGUCGAGCCUGGCCAGUACCUCGAUGAGUAACCACUUGGGAAUUUCAGGUACUGUAAG
Molecule: non-coding RNA, 114 nt
Organism: Acanthosepion pharaonis
Lineage: Eukaryota; Metazoa; Mollusca; Cephalopoda; Sepiida; Sepiidae
Source: the annotation of a GenBank genome assembly